CACCGCCGUCACAUCACGAAAGUGGUUUGUACUAGAAGUCGCAAUUCUAACCGCAAGGAAGAUAGCGCCAAGGUAUGAAUCAUGAUUGGGGUG
RNAcentral lists this ribosomal RNA (93 nucleotides) under uncultured bacterium. RNAcentral's name for it is "partial 16S ribosomal RNA". The record is from RNAcentral.